Alligator mississippiensis (American alligator) is the source of this 45-nucleotide non-coding RNA. NCBI's taxonomy places the organism in Eukaryota, Metazoa, Chordata, Crocodylia, Alligatoridae. The record is from Rfam.
GAUGAGGCUUUUUUUAAAGCCACCUAUAAACUUGGAAGAGAAAAG